AGUGGCGCACGGGUGCGUAACGCGUAGGAACCUGCCUUUAGGUUCGGAAUAACAGUUAGAAAUGACUGCUAAUACCGGAUGAUGUCUUCGGACCAAAGAUUUAUCGCCUUUAGAUGGGCCCGCGUUGGAUUAGAUAGUUGGUGGGGUAAUGGCCUACCAAGUCGACGAUCCAUAGCUGGUCUGAGAGGAUGAUCAGCCACACUGGGACUGAGACACGGCCCAGACUCCUACGGGAGGCAGCAGUGGGGAAUAUUGGACAAUGGGCGAAAGCCUGAUCCAGCAAUGCCGCGUGAGUGAUGAAGGCCUUAGGGUUGUAAAGCUCUUUUACCAGGGAUGAUAAUGACAGUCCUGGAGAAUAGCUCCGGCUAACUCCGUGCCAGCAGCCCGCGGUAAUACGGAGGGAGCUAGCC
This 410-nucleotide ribosomal RNA is filed under the name uncultured Alphaproteobacteria bacterium. RNAcentral describes it as "bacterial SSU rRNA". It matches the Rfam family "Bacterial small subunit ribosomal RNA", at positions 94 to 539 of the family's 1533-position model. Lineage: Bacteria; Pseudomonadati; Pseudomonadota; Alphaproteobacteria. The record is from RNAcentral.